Molecule: long non-coding RNA, 852 nt
Organism: Lathyrus oleraceus (garden pea)
Lineage: Eukaryota; Viridiplantae; Streptophyta; Magnoliopsida; Fabales; Fabaceae
Exons: 2
Source: RefSeq, a predicted model, not a curated record
UUUUCAAACUACCGUUUUUAUGAAAAACACAAUUCACCCCCCUCUUGUGUGUGGAGUCAAAUAUCCAUCAAGUAUGACUUGAAUCACAAUUUAAAAGUCUUGAACAAUAUAUUUUUAAGUUUGAUUCGAAUCACAAUUUUAUCGGUUAAAGCUCUUGAUUCUUGGAUAUGCAAUUUGGUUUUUUCAGUUUUGAGUCCAUGGUGAGUACAUUUGCUGCUGAAAACUUAUACUCACUUUAUGGAUAUUGGGCAUGCUUAGAUCGUGAUCCUCCUUUAUUGUUCCCAAUAUUUUUGUGGCUCAUGGUCGGUGUAAUUUGAAAUGACCGGAGAAGGAUCAAAGAAGAGAGCACUAAUGAACAAGAAACCAUAAGAUGACUAAAACUUUCACUAUUUGGUUUUUUUAACAAUUUAACAUCUUUUAAUCCAUUUUUGUUAAUGUUAAUUGUGUAAAAAAGAGUUGUUGAUAGGUUAUGUCGGACACGACAUAUGACACACGAGGCUCUAGCCGUAAACACAUCUUGCAUGAAGCAUGACACAAGGAACAAAAGCACCACUUCUAGCAAGUAUGAAAGAACACAAGCACCACCUAUUGGAGAAUGAGGAUCAAUUAAGUGACAUUGAUCUUUGGUUAGAUGGACGAGCUAAUUCGUACUAGAUUGUGAUGAUGUACCUGUUUUUCUUAUUUUGGUUUAUUAGAUUAUGAUUUGAACUUUAGUUAUGCAAAUCGUUGUCCACUUGCUCUGUCAUUGUUAGUUUUCUUGUUUCUUUGAAUAUUGUGGAAUACAUGUAUAGAAUCUAAUUUCCGCAUAUUAUGUAUUGAUGACAACAAUCAAAGUAUGUUUUUACCUCAUAA